ACGAGGUGCAGUGGAGCUGAGACCUUG
This 27-nucleotide small nuclear RNA is filed under the name Arabidopsis thaliana (thale cress). Its description in RNAcentral is "snRNA_14629". Lineage: Eukaryota; Viridiplantae; Streptophyta; Magnoliopsida; Brassicales; Brassicaceae. The record is from RNAcentral.